This 148-nucleotide small RNA is filed under the name Pongo abelii (Sumatran orangutan). RNAcentral's name for it is "Metazoan signal recognition particle RNA (ENSPPYG00000031510.1)". The record is from Rfam by way of RNAcentral. Lineage: Eukaryota; Metazoa; Chordata; Mammalia; Primates; Hominidae.
GCCAGGCACAGUGGCGUGUGCCUGUAAUCCCAGCUACUUCGGAGGCUGAGGCAGGAGAAUUGCUUGAACCCGGGAGGCAGAGAUUGCAGUGAGCUGAGAUUGUACCACUGCACUCCAGCCUGGGAGACAGAGCGAGACUCUGUCUCAG